Molecule: ribosomal RNA, 256 nt
Filed under: uncultured bacterium
Lineage: Bacteria
Description: partial 16S ribosomal RNA
Rfam family: Bacterial small subunit ribosomal RNA
Source: RNAcentral
GUCCACGCCUUAAACGUUGAAUACUCGAUGUGUGCGAUAUACUGUACGCGUCUAAGCGAAAGUGAUAAGUAUUCCACCUGGGGAGUACGCUCGCAAGGGUGAAACUCAAAGGAAUUGACGGGGCCGCACAAGCGGAGGAGCAUGUGGUUUAAUUCGAUGAUACGCGAGGAACCUUACCUGGGCUUGAAAGUUAGUGCCCGAUUGUGAAAGCAGUCUUUCCGCAAGGACACGAAACUAGGUGCUGCAUGGCUGUCGU